GACGGAAGGUGCAAGCGUUGCUCGGAAUCACUGGGCGUAAAGGGUGCGUAGGCGGCCGUGCAAGUCUGGCGUGAAAGCCCCGGGCUCAGCCCGGGAAGUGCGCUCGAAACUGCGCGGCUCGAGUGCCGGAGGGGAGAGUGGAAUUCCUGGUGUAGCGGUGAAAUGCGUAGAUAUCAGGAGGAACACCUGCGGUGUAGACGGCUUUCUGGACCAUUGCUGACGCUGAGACACGAAAGCGUGGGUAGCAAGCAGG
This 253-nucleotide ribosomal RNA is filed under the name uncultured bacterium. RNAcentral describes it as "partial 16S ribosomal RNA". It matches the Rfam family "Bacterial small subunit ribosomal RNA", at positions 524 to 776 of the family's 1533-position model. The record is from RNAcentral.